UGUAUUUAAAUUUAAAGUUUGAAUUUAAAUUAAAAUUUGAAUUUUAAAUUGAAUCUAAUUUUUUAUUUCAAACUUAAAUUUUUUAUUUUGAUUUUGAUAUUUUAAUUUAUAUUUAAAAUUUAUAAAUAUAUGAUUUGGAAAUGAAAAGAAGAGCUCUCUUGUCACGCCCCGGGGCCGAUUUUAAAAGUCUUUUAAAAACAGAGUUGCGGAAAACGUGCCAUUUUUUUUUUUU
Molecule: long non-coding RNA, 232 nt
Filed under: Ananas comosus (pineapple)
Lineage: Eukaryota; Viridiplantae; Streptophyta; Magnoliopsida; Poales; Bromeliaceae
Description: long non-coding RNA (ACOM_LNC039265)
Source: RNAcentral